Molecule: ribosomal RNA, 468 nt
Filed under: uncultured bacterium
Lineage: Bacteria
Description: partial 16S ribosomal RNA
Rfam family: Bacterial small subunit ribosomal RNA
Source: RNAcentral
GACGAACGCUGGCGGCGUGCUUAACACAUGCAAGUCGAACGGAAAGGCCCUGCUUUUGUUGGGUGCUCGAGUGGCGAACGGGUGAGUAACACGUGAGUAACCUGCCCUUGACUUUGGGAUAACUUCAGGAAACUGGGGCUAAUACCGGAUAUGAGCUCCUGCUGCAUGUUGGGGGUUGGAAAGUUUCGGCGGUUGGGGAUGGACUCGCGGCUUAUCAGCUUGUUGGUGGGGUAGGGGCUUACCAAGGCUUUGACGGGUAGCCGGCCUGAGAGGGUGACCGGCCACAUUGGGACUGAGAUACGGCCCAGAAUCCUACGGGAGGCAGCAGUGGGGAAUAUUGCACAAUGGGCGGAAGCCUGAUGCAGCAACGCCGCGUGCGGGAUGACGGCCUUCGGGUUGUAAACAGCUUUCGACUGUGACGAAGCGUGAGUGACGGUAAUGGGUAAAGAAGCAACGGCUAACUACGUG